Molecule: long non-coding RNA, 983 nt
Organism: Cygnus atratus (black swan)
Lineage: Eukaryota; Metazoa; Chordata; Aves; Anseriformes; Anatidae
Exons: 3
Source: RefSeq, a predicted model, not a curated record
CCCCUCCGCUCCCCGCCUGCCGGCUCCGGAGGGAGGCGCCGCGCUGUGGGGCGGGGAUCGGAGCGGAGCGGAGCCGGAGCUGGAGCCGGAGCCGGAGCCGCCCGGGCAGGGGCGCGCAGCCAGGAGGGAGGGAAAGGGUGUAGGAUGGAAACUCAUAUAUACAUAACUACCUACGUCGUCUGUGGAGGAGCUGGAAUGGAUGCACUGGACAGCUAAGCGCAAAUUCUGCGGGAGUGUGAGCUGGCAGAAAGGCCAAGAUGGAUCCAGCUUCAGGUGGGAACAAAGGUGGCCCCUGGGCUGAGGCUUCACAAAGGAAGGUCUGAUCUGGAGCUUGGUUUAAAGGCACAGGUGAAGAUCUUUGGAAAAGAACUUUCAUCAUGGAAACAGUGCCUAUAAGUAUUAACUAAAUCUUUAUCAUGGGGGGGGGAAAAUGAGUUUGAGAGUCAAGAGAUGAUUCUUUUUUUUUUCCUUUUACUUCCUCACAAGUAAAAAUGUUUUCUUUAUAAACUGCCCCCCUCCAAUGUAUCAGGGGAGACUUAUUCAAAGUUCAAAACCAAAGAGAUGUUUACAGCUGUUGUUUUUUCCCCUCUGCCCCGUGCAUGCAUACCUUGCUUGUAUUGCAUAGGUUUUAAAAGUCUUGAAAACUGCUGGAAGAACUAAAAAUGCAUGGGAAAUAUUCCAAAGGUCAAAUAUCAAAGUGUUCUCUUACAGUGGUACAUGUGUUGUAACUAAUAUCUUUGCAGAGCAUAGAUCUUAUUUUCUUAAAAACAAACAGUUUUAAUGCCCGGUCAAUUUGGGGUUUUUGCUUCUGGGAUAUGAGGAAAAAGUAAAUCUGCUUCAAAAUUGUUAUGAUUGUGCCAUAAGGAUUCAGUUUUGUUCUCUCUGUAAUAGAGGAAGAAUGUGUUACAUCUUGAUGAAGCAAUGCUAAGUCUUACUUGGGGAAUUCUUAUUGUCUGUUUCUAUGAAUAAAGCAAUCAACUCUA